CGUCGCACGAGCCCCGCCCCCUGACGCUCCCUGCGGAAGGCGUGGCCGGAGCUUCCGAGCGCGCUCGGCUCUUUCCGCCGGCCCGCCGCGCGGGAGGCCGACUCCCUGGCCUCUGCUCUAGAGCACUUUUGCUUCCUGGCGCGCUGAGACCUCAGGCCUCCCGGACACUUCUGAUCGUGUUGGGACAAGCCAUCUCACUUGCUUUUCUUUGAGUUUUGAUGACUAAAAUGAGGGAGACAGCAUUGGCCUGUGACUCAAAGGGACCAGGAAGCCUGAUAAAACUGGGCACCUGAUUUUGAGGUCACCGAAGGCUCGUCUCCAGCUUCCUCUGUCCACUUGAGAGCUUCUGACCUUCCUCAAGGCAGAAACCACAACAUUCCUCUCCAAGCAUGACAUGCGUCUCUCCAUGGAGAAGGAAUCUCUCAGUGUUCAUGUCACUUUCUGAUUUGAUUCUGGUCUAAACCUGGCCAGAGAGAUUGGGCGAUCCAUAGAAGACCUGACGUUCUCUUUGCUCAAACGGUCGUCUUGUAUCUUUGAAGACUUCUAGAUGGAGUGAUGGACUUCCUGGACGCUCAGUUGUUAAAGAAUCCAUCUGCAAUGCAGGAGAGCCUGGUUCAAUACCAAGUUCAGCAGAACUUCACCUUUUACAGGACGCACAGAAGAGGGCCGGCACUUUGUGGUUCUGCCAGUUGCACUGGUCGAGUCUCUAGGAGGAACCCUCGGUUCUGAUGAAGACGUGGAGGUCGUUGGCAUCUCUUGGCUUGAUGGCCUGAAGCAAUACCGGUUAAUACCUACAUAGAGGAAACACCUAAAGCCAGUGAGCGUGAAUCUAUAAAUGCCUAUUUUCAGAAAUACCGAUUCUUUCAUUGUUCUGCUUUAAUGAAGUCGGUACUUCCAAACAAAAAGAGAGAUGGAAAUAAGAACGGAGAACUGAGAACAGGUUGUGUUCUCAAACUACGUCUGACACAUGAAAAACUUUAAAACCCUGAUUUUGAUUGUCUCGUGUGACUAUGAAACCAGAAAAGAACUAAAUUUGGGAAAUGAUUAAAGGUAUGUCACCCCUACCCUCCCAAAUCAAAUCUCUCUCUCUCUCUCUUUUUUUUUUUUUUUACUUCUUUACGGUAAAGAUUUUCAUUUGCUUUAUGUCCAGUUAAGUAUUUAGUUCUUUGCAGAACUGGAUCAGUUAUUCACUGUCUUGCUCCUUUUGAGCUGAGCCAUGGUGUUCUUUUUCAGCUGCGUAUCACAAAGUAAACAAGUAUAGAAAUUUCUCCUUUGAAGAUUCCGCAUGAGUCUGUUGCUGGUUAGAUUUUCCCUGCAGAAAUCAAACAGAGUUUCCUGUUGCAUGUUUACCAAAGCCCUUUCUCUCCAGAAAGAACAAACGCAGUGCUACAAUUUUCCCAUUUGUUAAUUUUUCCCGUUGAGCUCAGUCCUUCCCCUGAAAUAUCUUCUUUCUCGUAGUCCACCUCGUUUAGCGGUAAAUACAGAGGAUUACAAACAUUCUUGUCAGAUAUAAAACAUUUCAGGAAAUUUAAUUUCUUCAGUCAUGGAUUUUAGCCAUAAUGAUACUCUGCAUUUGUAUAAAAUCUCCGCUAUGAGAAACCCAAGCCCCGUCUUCAUUAUCUGGAGACAAGCAUUAUUAUCAUAAUUUAGCAUCCUGUGUAACUGAGUCACAGGAAAUGAACCAGAAAUAAAUCAUACCUGGAGUGCAACUUACAAAAGAAUGUAGCCCCAAAGAGAGACGACUGCUUUGUGCCUUGGAAAGUUUCAUGCUGGAGGACAGUAUGGCUGGGGACCAUUUAGGGAAGAAGGGGUCUCAAUGGAUGGGUGUGGGGUAGGAGUCGGAGUUGAUGGGGAGGGGGGUCGGGGGCCGGGUGGUGGAGGAACUCAAGGACAAAGGCUUCGGUACUGCUGCUGAAUCCUGCUCCCUGAGAGCCGGCCUGGGAGCCUUCUCUGAUGUAUCAUGCCCUCAGCCCAUCCAGGAAGCCGCCUGUUCUCCACUUGGGACCCUGCUGGGUGCUGAGCCAAGAUGCAGCUGGUUCUGUGGGCCCCCGCUCCCCUGCCCACGUGACCCAGUGUGGUCCUGCCUGGGGAUGAAUUGCUCACAGCCCCCUGGACCUGACACUCAGAGUCCUUAGUGAUCUAGAUUUUCACCCCCAGGGGCUUUCUCUGCUCAAACCAGCUUCCCAAAUCAGAGCAGAUGUGCUUAAGAAAAAGGAGGGAAGAGGAAGCUGUGAUGAGCAAGGUUCUCCUGGUGACCCCGGUGAGACUGAAGGGAGCUGUGAGCUUCUCCGUGUCCUUGAAGAUUCCUUCCCCACUGAGCGCUGAGAGCGGGGCUUUCUGCCAUGGUUCAUCCUAUCUGACAGGUCCAUGGGGGAAAGUGGAACUGGCAGGAGUGGUAAAUUGGGGAGGGUCAGAUGAUUCUCCCCCUCCCGGUGUGGAAAGCGUGGUGCCUACCAGCUGCUGUCUGUGGGCUUUGUCCUUGGGGGUUUCUCACCGCUUCUGGUGGUGCUUUUUUUAAUCUCAAGGUAGAAAUCAAUGAACGACUCUGUUCUAGCAUGAAAGACACACUAACCAGCUCUUGAAACUGAGAUAACUAAUCACUGCAAGUGGGAGGAUGCUAUGGGACCAAGAAUUGCCUAAACACAAGAGGCUCCCAGGUGACUCAGUGGUGAAGAAUCCACCUGCAAUAGAGGAGACUUGGGUUCGAUCCCUGG
Bubalus bubalis (water buffalo) is the source of this 2714-nucleotide long non-coding RNA. RefSeq lists it as uncharacterized. The record is from RefSeq and is a predicted model, not a curated record. Lineage: Eukaryota; Metazoa; Chordata; Mammalia; Artiodactyla; Bovidae. The transcript is spliced from 6 exons.